GAUGAACGCUGGCGGCGUGCCUAAUACAUGCAAGUCGAGCGCACGGACGAGAAGCUUGCUUCUCUGGUGUUAGCGGCGGACGGGUGAGUAACACGUGGAUAACCUACCUAUAAGACUGGGAUAACUUUGGGAAACGUGAGCUAAUACCGGAUGAUAUUUUGAACCACAUGGUUUAAAAGUGAAAGACGGACUUGCUGUCCCUUAUGGUUAGAUCCGCGCUGCAUUGGCUAGUGGGUAAGGUAACGGCUGACCAAGGCAAGGAUGCAUAGCCGACCUGAGAGGGGGAUCGGCCACACUGGAACUGAAACACGGUCAAGACUCCUACGGGAGGCGGCAUAAGGGAAUCUUCGGCAAUGGGCGAAAGCAUGACGGAGCAACGCCGCGUGAUUGAUGAAGGUCUUCGGAUCGUAAAACUCUGUUAUUAGGGAAGAACAUAUGUUUAAUUAACUGUGCACAUAUUGACGGUACCUAAUCAGAAAGCCACGGCUAACUACGUG
Molecule: ribosomal RNA, 497 nt
Filed under: uncultured bacterium
Lineage: Bacteria
Description: partial 16S ribosomal RNA
Rfam family: Bacterial small subunit ribosomal RNA
Source: RNAcentral